This 253-nucleotide ribosomal RNA is filed under the name uncultured bacterium. RNAcentral describes it as "partial 16S ribosomal RNA". It matches the Rfam family "Bacterial small subunit ribosomal RNA", at positions 524 to 776 of the family's 1533-position model. The record is from RNAcentral.
GACGUAGGGGGCAAGCGUUAUUCGGAAUUAUUGGGCGUAAAGCGCUCGUAGGCGGGACUGGAAGUCCGUGUUGAAAGACCUCGGCUCAACUGAGGGACCGGCUCGGAUACUCUAGUUCUUGAGGCAAUCAGAGGGUGAUGGAAUUCCCGGUGUAGCGGUGACAUGCGUAGAUAUCGGGAGGAACACCAGUGGCGAAGGCGGGUCUCUGGGCCGGUACCGACGCUGAGGAGCGAAAGCGUGGGGAGCGAACAGG